UGGGGAAUUUUGGACAAUGGGCGAAAGCCUGAUCCAGCAAUGCCGCGUGUGUGAAGAAGGCCUUCGGGUUGUAAAGCACUUUUGUCCGGAAAGAAAUCCUUGGCUCUAAUACAGUCGGGGGAUGACGGUACCGGAAGAAUAAGCACCGGCUAACUACGUGCCAGCAGCCGCGGUAAUACGUAGGGUGCAAGCGUUAAUCGGAAUUACUGGGCGUAAAGCGUGCGCAGGCGGUUUGCUAAGACCGAUGUGAAAUCCCCGGGCUCAACCUGGGAACUGCAUUGGUGACUGGCAGGCUAGAGUAUGGCAGAGGGGGGUAGAAUUCCACGUGUAGCAGUGAAAAUGCGUAGAGAUGUGGAGGAAUACCGAUGGCGAAGGCAGCCCCCUGGGCCAAUACUGACGCUCAUGCACGAAAAGCGUGGGGAGCAAAACAGGAUUAGAUACCCUGGUAGUCCACGCCCUAAAACGAUGUCAACUAGUUGUUGGGGAUUCAUUUCCUUAGUAACGUAGCUAACGCGUGAAGUUGACCGCCUGGGGGAGUACGGUCGCAAGAUUAAAAACUU
This 560-nucleotide ribosomal RNA is filed under the name uncultured bacterium. RNAcentral's name for it is "partial 16S ribosomal RNA". It matches the Rfam family "Bacterial small subunit ribosomal RNA", at positions 355 to 902 of the family's 1533-position model. The record is from RNAcentral.